UACGUAGGGUGCGAGCGUUAAUCGGAAUUACUGGGCGUAAAGCGUGCGCAGGCGGGCUUUUAAGCCAGACGUGAAAUCCCCGGGCUUAACCUGGGAAUGGCGCUUGGGACUGGAAGUCUGGAGUGCGGCAGAGGAGACUGGAAUUCCUGGUGUAGCAGUGAAAUGCGUAGAUAUCAGGAGGAACACCGAUGGCGAAGGCAGGUCUCUGGGCUGACACUGACGCUCAUGCACGAAAGCGUGGGGAGCAAACAGG
RNAcentral lists this ribosomal RNA (253 nucleotides) under uncultured bacterium. Its description in RNAcentral is "partial 16S ribosomal RNA". It matches the Rfam family "Bacterial small subunit ribosomal RNA", at positions 524 to 776 of the family's 1533-position model. The record is from RNAcentral.